Bufo bufo (common toad) is the source of this 954-nucleotide long non-coding RNA. RefSeq lists it as uncharacterized. Lineage: Eukaryota; Metazoa; Chordata; Amphibia; Anura; Bufonidae. The transcript is spliced from 2 exons. The record is from RefSeq and is a predicted model, not a curated record.
CUCUUGAUUUAAAGUCUUUAUUAAUCAGCAUUCAAUAAAAAUGUCCCAUAAUGCACCGAACAAUCUCAUAUUCUAUAAAUAUAUAUAUAUAUAUCGUAGCAUAGCAGGUUUCAGUUUUGCAUAGGUCUCUGUACUAGAGAAGUCGUCCCUGAAUACUCAGCCUCUUAAUCAUUCUGUCCUUGCUGUAAUGGAAUGCACUGACUUCCUGCUGAGCUUGUGCUUAUACACAGCAGCCAAUGUGGACCAAAGCAGAGCUGCAGUGCAAAGCAUGUGGGCGAGGAGCCACAGAGAAGCAACCUAAAGCUGUGAGGUGUCAGGAGGUAAAUUUCCAACUAUGACUUACUCCAACAGACAAUGCAACUAAGCUGGAGUCACUGAUUGAUCAUAGCUGCGCCCAAAUGUAACAUGGCUAAAAAAAAGCCAGGGCUAAAGAUGGCUGCUGCCACCACUGGGGGGAGCUCUUUGGUAAUCUAUAAUAUGGAUUUAUUAUGGGUUUAUAUGCAGCAAGCUGCCACCACUAGGGGGAGCUCUUUGGUAAUCUAUAAUAUAAAUUUAUAUGCAGCAAGCUGCCCUUUGUGAUGGUUGCCAGGCAGCAGCCAUUGUGGGAGGUCUCGCCUAUCUUGGGAGAGGAGACGUAUAUGCUCUUGUGGCGCUAAUCUACACCCUCAUUGUAAUAUUUGGUUUAUGCAGGAAGGAAUGUCAAGGCAUUUUGGUUGAAGGCAAUCAGGUGAUUACAGGUGAAUAGUAACGACACUACAGCUCCGAGGGCACUAUCCUAUAUACCAGGGAUGUUCAACCUGCGGCCAUCCAGUUGUUGCAAAGCUACAACUCCCAGCAUGCCUUGUUAGCUAUAGGCUCUCCAGGCAAGCUGGAGGGCCGCAGGUUGGGCAUCCCUGCUAUGUACCAACAUCAGUGUGUAUUCGAGGAUCAAGUCUUCUAAAGACGUGUCCUAUA